AACUGCUUAGAGGUUAAGCCCGAUGAACUUGAAUAUCCGUUUUAGAAAAUUCAUCAUUAUGAUUAUAUUAUUAAAAAUAUUAUAAAAAUGGUGUGCAUUUUUUCUAUAUGGACAUUGUAAUCUAUUAACAUAAAAAUUUAUCAAAAGAUCAUUAUGCGAAAGUUUAUUCACAUUAUUUUGCUUGCAAUUUAACAUAGAAUAAAUGCUCUUGAUUUGAUAAAGUGUUGAUAGAUUUAUUAUAUAUAGUGUUAAAAUAUAUUUUUUAUAUUUUAUUAUAGCAUAUUAAUUAUUAAUUUAUAUGUUUAUUAUAUGCACUUAUAUGAUUAACAAUGCGAAAGAUUCAGGAUACCUUCGGGA
Molecule: ribosomal RNA, 357 nt
Filed under: Semisuturia sp. LRC-2002
Lineage: Eukaryota; Metazoa; Arthropoda; Insecta; Diptera; Tachinidae
Description: eukaryotic LSU rRNA
Source: RNAcentral